CUCGUAGUUGGAUUCGGUUAAGAGCGACCGGUCCGCCGUUUGGUGUGCACUGGUUGGUUUUAACUUCCUGUAGAGGACGUGCUCUGGGCUUAACGGUCUGGACUCGGAGUCUGCGUGGUUACUUUGAAAAAAUUAGAGUGUUCAAAGCGGGCUUAAGCUUGAAUAUUUCAGCAUGGAAUAACACUAUAGGACUCCUGUCCUAUUUCGUUGGUCUCGGGACGGGAGUAAUGAUUAAGAGGAACAGUUGGGGGCAUUCGUAUUUCAUUGUCAGAGGUGAAAUUCUUGGAUUUAUGAAAGACGAACUUCUGCGAAAGCAUUUGCCAAGGAUGUUUUCAUUAAUCAAGAACGAAAGUUGGGGGCUCGAAGAUGAUUAGAUACCAUCCUAGUCUCAACCAUAAACGAUGCCGACUAGGGAUUGGCGGAUGUUAAUUGAUGACUCCGCCAGCACCUUAUGAGAAAUCAAAGUUUUUGGGUUCCGGGGGGAGUAUGGUCGCAAG
RNAcentral lists this ribosomal RNA (497 nucleotides) under uncultured Micromonas. RNAcentral's name for it is "SSU rRNA". It matches the Rfam family "Eukaryotic small subunit ribosomal RNA", at positions 627 to 1135 of the family's 1831-position model. Lineage: Eukaryota; Viridiplantae; Chlorophyta; Mamiellophyceae; Mamiellales. The record is from RNAcentral.